CUUCUUGCUAGGCCGGGCGGCUUAUCCUCGCCUGUUACCCAAAACGGAUAUCAGUGGGGGCCGAAGCCUGAGGGGCGGUUUGGCCUGCAAGUGCGGGUCCUGCUUUGACCGUCGAUGCUCUGUCCUCAUCGGCUCAUGUCUUCGUGAAUCGAGUCAGGUCGGGAACGAAGCAGCUCUAAACAUUGGCACGGGUGCCUUGAGGGUUGCGGAGCGGAGGAAAUUGCAGGGCUAAACCUGUGAUUGCUCGACUCAUCCACCCUCAGGCGCGCAUUAUU
Molecule: signal recognition particle RNA, 275 nt
Filed under: Candidatus Woesearchaeota archaeon
Lineage: Archaea; Nanobdellati; Candidatus Woesearchaeota
Description: signal recognition particle sRNA
Rfam family: Archaeal signal recognition particle RNA
Source: RNAcentral